CAGUAGCCGCGGUAAUGCGUAGGUGGCAAGCGUCGUCCGGAAUUAUUGGGCGUAAAGGGCUCGCAGGCGGUUUCUUAAGUCUGAUGUGAAAGCCCCCGGCUCAACCGGGGAGGGUCAUUGGAAACUGGGAAACUUGAGUGCAGAAGAGGAGAGUGGAAUUCCACGUGUAGCGGUGAAAUGCGUAGAGAUGUGGAGGAACACCAGUGGCGAAGGCGGCUCUCUGGUCUGUAACUGACGCUGAGGCUCGAAAGCGUGGGGAGCAAACAGGAUUAGAUACCCCGGUAGUCCCUGUCUCUUAUAC
Molecule: ribosomal RNA, 301 nt
Filed under: uncultured bacterium
Lineage: Bacteria
Description: partial 16S ribosomal RNA
Rfam family: Bacterial small subunit ribosomal RNA
Source: RNAcentral